GCGCGGAUCUUCCAGAGAUUAGAGUUUGAUCCUGGCUCAGGAUGAACGCUGGCGGCGUGCCUAAUACAUGCAAGUCGAGCGAAUGGAUUAAGAGCUUGCUCUUAUGAAGUUAGCGGCGGACGGGUGAGUAACAUGUGGGUAACCUGCCCAUAAGACUGGGAUAACUCCGGGAAACCGGGGCUAAUACCGGAUAACAUUUUGAACCGCAUGGUUCGAAAUUGAAAGGCGGCUUCGGCUGUCACUUAUGGAUGGACCCGCGUCGCAUUAGCUAGUUGGUGAGGUAACGGCUCACCAAGGCAACGAUGCGUAGCCGACCUGAGAGGGUGAUCGGCCACACUGGGACUGAGACACGGCCCAGACUCCUACGGGAGGCAGCAGUAGGGAAUCUUCCGCAAUGGACGAAAGUCUGACGGAGCAACGCCGCGUGAGUGAUGAAGGCUUUCGGGUCGUAAAACUCUGUUGUUAGGGAAGAACAAGUGCUAGUUGAAUAAGCUGGCACCUUGACGGUACCUAACCAGAAAGCCACGGCUAACUACGUGCCAGCAGCCGCGGUAAUACGUAGGUGGCAAGCGUUAUCCGGAAUUAUUGGGCGUAAAGCGCGCGCAGGUGG
This 610-nucleotide ribosomal RNA is filed under the name uncultured Bacillus sp. Its description in RNAcentral is "bacterial SSU rRNA". It matches the Rfam family "Bacterial small subunit ribosomal RNA", at positions 1 to 578 of the family's 1533-position model. Lineage: Bacteria; Bacillati; Bacillota; Bacilli; Caryophanales; Bacillaceae. The record is from RNAcentral.